UCUGUUUUCUCCUCUCUCCUUUUCCACCCCAUGCACUAGAACAUGCAUUGCAUGUCUAAAUCCUGUCAGCAGAAAUGUAAAGAUGAUGGACAUCUUAAAUUGCAAUUAGUGACAACAGAACUUCCAGAGGAGGAUACCGAUGGCCACAUGGUAAUCAUAUUACUCAAUCUAUGUCAGAAGUUGAAUCAUUUGAAUCCAUAUUACAAACAAAAAAAAAAAGCAUCUCUUUAUAUUAUUUAGAAAUAUUAUG
Molecule: long non-coding RNA, 250 nt
Filed under: Elaeis guineensis (African oil palm)
Lineage: Eukaryota; Viridiplantae; Streptophyta; Magnoliopsida; Arecales; Arecaceae
Description: long non-coding RNA (EGUI_LNC036628)
Source: RNAcentral